Long non-coding RNA from Dalotia coriaria, 262 nucleotides. RefSeq lists it as uncharacterized. The transcript is spliced from 3 exons. The record is from RefSeq and is a predicted model, not a curated record. NCBI's taxonomy places the organism in Eukaryota, Metazoa, Arthropoda, Insecta, Coleoptera, Staphylinidae.
CACAUUCGAAGAUAUACCUGCGUUAAUACAUUAAUACAGCUUCCUUGUUUUUGUAAACAGUAAGAAUCGCGAAUAUCGUGGAUAUUUACGGCGUGGACGGCGAGAUUCAGUAGCGUUUUUAGCGAGCGCGCGUUAAGUCGUGUGUGAAUCGGAUACUUUUCGUGUCGAGAUCCGGUUUUUGUUUGCACAAAUCACAGCAACUUUCAGUUGAAUUAUUGGUUAAAAAUUGUUUUAAAUUUAACUCGUGAUGAUUAUAAAGUAG